AUUGAACGCUGGCGGAAUGCUUUACACAUGCAAGUCGAACGGCAGCACGGACUUCGGUCUGGUGGCGAGUGGCGAACGGGUGAGUAAUACAUCGGAACGUGCCCAAUCGUGGGGGAUAACGUAGCGAAAGCUACGCUAAUACCGCAUACGAUCUAAGGAUGAAAGCGGGGGAUCGCAAGACCUCGCGCGAUUGGAGCGGCCGAUGGCAGAUUAGGUAGUUGGUGGGUAAAGGCCUACCAAGCCGACGAUCUGUAGCUGGUCUGAGAGGAUGAUCAGCCACACUGGGACUGAGACACGGCCCAGACUCCUACGGGAGGCAGCAGUGGGGAAUUUUGGACAAUGGACGCAAGUCUGAUCCAGCCAUUCCGCGUGCAGGAUGAAGGCCCUCGGGUUGUAAACUGCUUUUGUACAGAACGAAAAGGCUCUGGUUAAUACCUAGGGCUCAUGACGAUACUGUAAGAAUAAGCACCGGCUAACUACGUGCCAGCAGCCGCCGCGG
RNAcentral lists this ribosomal RNA (499 nucleotides) under uncultured bacterium. RNAcentral describes it as "partial 16S ribosomal RNA". It matches the Rfam family "Bacterial small subunit ribosomal RNA", at positions 30 to 523 of the family's 1533-position model. The record is from RNAcentral.